Molecule: ribosomal RNA, 465 nt
Filed under: uncultured bacterium
Lineage: Bacteria
Description: partial 16S ribosomal RNA
Rfam family: Bacterial small subunit ribosomal RNA
Source: RNAcentral
GACGAACGCUGGCGGCGUGCUUAACACAUGCAAGUCGAACGGUGAACUCCGCUUGCGGGGGGAUCAGUGGCGAACGGGUGAGUAACACGUGGGCAACCUGCCCUCCGCUCUGGGAUAACUCCAAGAAAUUGGGGCUAAUAACGGCUAUGUCCGCUGACCGCCUGGUCUGGGGGUGGAAGGAUUUAUCGGCUGGGGAUGGGCCCGCGGCCUAUCAGCUUGUUGGUGGGGUAGUGGCCUACCAAGGCGACGACGGGUAGCCGGCCUGAGAGGGUGACCGGCCACACUGGGACUGAGACACGGCCCAGACUCCUACGGGAGGCAGCAGUGGGGAAUAUUGCGCAAUGGGCGGAAGCCUGACGCAGCGACGCCGCGUGCGGGAUGACGGCCUUCGGGUUGUAAACCGCUUUCAGCAGGGACGAAGCGAAAGUGACGGUACCUGCAGAAGAAGCACCGGCCAACUACGUG